GGAGCUGGGGCUCAGUGGUGGAGCGCUUGCCUGACACGUGUGAGGCACUGGGUUCGAUCCUCAGCAGCACAU
Non-coding RNA from Ictidomys tridecemlineatus (thirteen-lined ground squirrel), 72 nucleotides. NCBI's taxonomy places the organism in Eukaryota, Metazoa, Chordata, Mammalia, Rodentia, Sciuridae. The record is from Rfam.